Molecule: unclassified non-coding RNA, 503 nt
Filed under: Hevea brasiliensis (rubber tree)
Lineage: Eukaryota; Viridiplantae; Streptophyta; Magnoliopsida; Malpighiales; Euphorbiaceae
Source: RNAcentral
UCUGUUUGUAUGCAAAAUCUGGGUCUAUGAAGCACGCUUCCCUUCUGCUUGACGGAAUUGCAAUGAGAGAUAUGGUUUUUUGGACUGCGCUUGUAAUUGGGUAUGUACAGAAUCGUGAGAGUGAGAAGGGAAUGGAGUGUUUAAAUGAGAUGCAUGUAUGGUGAGAGGGUGAAUUUUAGGACUUUGGAAGGAGCAUUUCAAGCUUAUGGGAAUUUGGGUGCCGUGAUUGAAGUCAGGUGUUUGCAUGGUUUAGCGGUAAAAACUGGAUUUGGGUGUUUCCACAUUGUUCAGUAUUCUCGUUUGUCAAUAUAUUCAACUUGUGGCGGUACUGAGGAAGCUUAGAAUUCUUUUUGCAAAGUGAUUAAUAAAGACAUUUUCUCGUGGACGUCAGUUAUUGGUAUUCAUGCAAGGUUUAGGUUCAUGAAUAAAUAUACAAGUCUUUUUGGGAUAGGCAAAAUGCUGGUGAAUGUCCAGAAGGGGUUGUUAUAAGUUUAAUCUGUUGG